RNAcentral lists this ribosomal RNA (1437 nucleotides) under uncultured organism. RNAcentral describes it as "16S ribosomal RNA". It matches the Rfam family "Bacterial small subunit ribosomal RNA". The record is from RNAcentral.
CAGGCUUAACACAUGCAAGUCGAGGGGCAGCAUGGUCUUAGCUUGCUAAGGCCGAUGGCGACCGGCGCACGGGUGAGUAACACGUAUCCAACCUGCCGUCUACUCUUGGACAGCCUUCUGAAAGGAAGAUUAAUACAAGAUGGCAUCAUGAGUCCGCAUGUUCACAUGAUUAAAGGUAUUCCGGUAGACGAUGGGGAUGCGUUCCAUUAGAUAGUAGGCGGGGUAACGGCCCACCUAGUCUUCGAUGGAUAGGGGUUCUGAGAGGAAGGUCCCCCACAUCGGAACUGAGACACGGUCUAAACUCCUACGGGAGGCAGCAGUGAGGAAUAUUGGUCAAUGGGCGAGAGCCUGAACCAGCCAAGUAGCGUGAAGGAUGACUGCCCUAUGGGUUGUAAACUUCUUUUAUAAAGGAAUAAAGUCGGGUAUGGAUACCCGUUUGCAUGUACUUUAUGAAUAAGGAUCGGCUAACUCCGUGCCAGCAGCCGCGGUAAUACGGAGGAUCCGAGCGUUAUCCGGAUUUAUUGGGUUUAAAGGGAGCGUAGAUGGAUGUUUAAGUCAGUUGUGAAAGUUUGCGGCUCAACCGUAAAAUUGCAGUUGAUACUGGAUAUCUUGAGUGCAGUUGAGGCAGGCGGAAUUCGUGGUGUAGCGGUGAAAUGCUUAGAUAUCACGAAGAACUCCGAUUGCGAAGGCAGCCUGCUAAGCUGCAACUGACAUUGAGGCUCGAAAGUGUGGGUAUCAAACAGGAUUAGAUACCCUGGUAGUCCACACGGUAAACGAUGAAUACUCGCUGUUUGCGAUAUACGGCAAGCGGCCAAGCGAAAGCGUUAAGUAUUCCACCUGGGGAGUACGCCGGCAACGGUGAAACUCAAAGGAAUUGACGGGGGCCCGCACAAGCGGAGGAACAUGUGGUUUAAUUCGAUGAUACGCGAGGAACCUUACCCGGGCUUAAAUUGCAGAUGAAUUACGGUGAAAGCCGUAAGCCGCAAGGCAUCUGUGAAGGUGCUGCAUGGUUGUCGUCAGCUCGUGCCGUGAGGUGUCGGCUUAAGUGCCAUAACGAGCGCAACCCUUGUUGUCAGUUACUAACAGGUUCCGCUGAGGACUCUGACAAGACUGCCAUCGUAAGAUGUGAGGAAGGUGGGGAUGACGUCAAAUCAGCACGGCCCUUACGUCCGGGGCUACACACGUGUUACAAUGGGGGGUACAGAGGGCCGCUACCACGCGAGUGGAUGCCAAUCCCCAAAACCUCUCUCAGUUCGGACUGGAGUCUGCAACCCGACUCCACGAAGCUGGAUUCGCUAGUAAUCGCGUAUCAGCCACGGCGCGGUGAAUACGUUCCCGGGCCUUGUACACACCGCCCGUCAAGCCAUGGGAGCCGGGGGUACCUGAAGUGCGUAACCGCGAGGAGCGCCCUAGGGUAAAACUGGUGACUGGGGCUAA